Molecule: long non-coding RNA, 503 nt
Filed under: Helianthus annuus (common sunflower)
Lineage: Eukaryota; Viridiplantae; Streptophyta; Magnoliopsida; Asterales; Asteraceae
Source: RNAcentral
UGGUGGAAUACGAGCAUAACCAGUCGCACGCACAGAACAGAAGGGGGGAAAGAAACCCCAAAUCGCUGCUGACCUGCUAUUGUUGUUCGAGUUCGAGGGCAGGGGUCUUGAACUUACUCGAUUUCUUCACGAAUCAUCCUCAGGUUGAAAUUGGGGGUGAAUUUUAGCCCUAAACUUGUUGAAAUUGUCAAUCUUCGACGAAUUCUUCUUGAAUCUUCAUAAGGUAUGUAUUAUGCUAUGGGAUUGACCGGCUGCUGCUGUGCCUGCUCUUGUUCGACUGCAAGCUGCUGCGCUACUUGUUGUGAUCUUGUUUGACUUUUCCAAUCUUCAUCAGGUUAAAGGUAUGUGUUUUUCUAUCUUUAGGUUUAAUUUAGGGCUACAAUUUAUGUGAUUUAGGUUGAAAUUAGGGGAGAAUUUUAACCCUAAACUUGUUGAAAUUAGGGGUGAAUUUUAGCCCUAAACUUGUGAUUUAGGUAGAAAUUAGGGGCAGAACUGAAAUUAGG